This 69-nucleotide transfer RNA is filed under the name Symphurus orientalis (pygmy tongue-sole). RNAcentral's name for it is "tRNA-Trp". It matches the Rfam family "tRNA". Rfam says of the family: Transfer RNA (tRNA) molecules are approximately 80 nucleotides in length. Their secondary structure includes four short double-helical elements and three loops (D, anti-codon, and T loops). Lineage: Eukaryota; Metazoa; Chordata; Actinopteri; Pleuronectiformes; Cynoglossidae. The record is from RNAcentral.
AGUGACUUAGGAUAAGAAGACCAAAGGCCUUCAAAGCCUUCAGCAGGAGUUAAAAUCUCCUAGUCUCUG